UUUUAAUUGGAUUAUUUGUUUUUUAUCGUUGAGUUGUAAGAGUGUUUUGUAUAUUCCAGAUACUAGACCCCUAUCUGUGGAUUGUCUUUUUGCUUUCUUGAUGGUGUCUUUUGAAGCACAAAAGUUUUCAGUUGAUCUCUUUUACCUGAGUUCAAUUUAUGUGUUUUAUCUUUGAUUGUUUGUGCUUUGCCUGUGUGUGUUUUUAAAAACCAUUAUCUGCCUAUGAUCCCAGCACUUUGGGAGGCUGAGGCAGGAGGAUCACUUGAGGCCAGGAGAUUGAGACCAGGCUUGGCUUUGAAGUGAGGCUGUGACUUGACGAAAAAUUUAAAAAUCAGCUGGACAUUGUGGUGAGCACAUGUAGUCCCAGCUAUGGUAAGCUGAGGUGGAAGGAUUGCUGGAGCCUGGGAGUUCAAGGCUGCAGUGAACUAUGAUUGUGCCACUUUACUGCAGCCUGUGUGACAGAGUGAGACCUGGCCUAGACCAACCAACCAACCCAAAAACCAUGAUCUAAUUCAGGGUCAUAAAGAUUUAUACCUAUGUUUUUUUCUAAGAGUUUUAUAGCUUUGGCUCUUACAUUUAGGUCUUUGAUCCACUUUGAGUUAACAUUUGCAUUUGAUGUGAGGAAGAGGCCUAACUUCAUUCUAUGCAUGUGGACAGUCCGCACCCCUUGUUGAAAAGACUGUUCUUUCCCCAUUGAGUGGUCUGACAUCCUUGUUGAAAUCAGUUGCCCACAGGCAUGUGGGUUUAUUUCCGGACUCUGAGUGAACCCACCGGUCUCUGCGUGUCCUUCUGACAGUGCCCCGCUGUCUUCAUCACUGUAGCCCUGAAGUUUUGAAAUCAGGAAGUAUGAAUCCUCUAAUUUGUUCUUCUUUUUAAAAGACUGUUUGACCCUGGGUCAAACAAUCUGGGUCCUUUGUGUUUCCUUGUGAAUUUUAGGAUCAGGUUGUCAAUUUCUGCAAAAACACUAGCUGGAAUUUUGAUGGGGAUUGCAUUGAGUUUUUUGAUCCGUUUGGAGAGUAUUGUUGUCUUUUAUAUAUUUUGAGACAGAGUUUCACUCUUGUUGCCCAGGCUGCAGUGCAAUGGCACAAUCUUGGCUCACCACAACCUCCACCUCCCAGGUUCAAGCGAUUCUCCUGCCUCAGCCUCCUGAGUAGCUGGGAUUACAGCAUGUGCCACCACACUCAGCUAAUUUUGUAUUUUUAAUAGAGAGGGGGUUUCUCCAUGUUGGUCAGGCUGGUCUCGAACUCCUGACCUCAGGUGAUCCACCCGCCUCGGCCUCCCGAAGUGCUGGGAUUACAGGCAUGAGCCACUACACCUGGCCGAGUAUUGCUGUCUUAACCAUAUGAAGUCAUCUAGUCCAUGAACACAGGAUAGCUGUUCAUUUAUUUAGGGUGUCUUUAAUUUCUUCUGGCAAUGUUUUACAGUUUUCAGAGUAUAAGCUUUAUAUCUCUUGUUAAAUUUAUUGCUCAGUAUUUUACUUUUUUGAUGCUAUUGUAAAUGGAAUUGUUUUACUUUCCUUUUCUUUUUUUCUUUUUUUUUUUUUGAGACUGGGUCUCACUCUGUCCCCCAGACUGGAGUGCGGUGGCAUGAUCUUGGCUCACCACAAGCUCCGCCUUCCAGGCUCAAGUGAUUCUCCUGCCUUUGCCUCAGCCUCCCAAGUAGCUGGGAUUACAGGCAUGCGUCACUCUUGCCAGGCUAAUUUUUGUAUUUUUAGUAGAGACAGGGUUUCGCCAUGUUGGCUGGGCUGGUCUUGAACUCCUGACCUCAGGUGAUCCACCCACCUUGGCCUCCCA
RNAcentral lists this long non-coding RNA (1793 nucleotides) under Homo sapiens (human). Its description in RNAcentral is "non-protein coding lnc-MAFA-4:1". Lineage: Eukaryota; Metazoa; Chordata; Mammalia; Primates; Hominidae. The record is from RNAcentral.